UGGGGAAUAUUGCACAAUGGGCGCAAGCCUGAUGCAGCGACGCCGCGUGGGGGAUGACGGCCUUCGGGUUGUAAACUCCUUUCGCUAGGGACGAAGCUUUUUGUGACGGUACCUAGAUAAGCAGCACCGGCUAACUACGUGCCAGCAGCCGCGGUAAUACGUAGGGUGCGAGCGUUGUCCGGAAUUACUGGGCGUAAAGGGCUCGUAGGUGGUUUGUCGCGUCGUCUGUGAAAUUCCGGGGCUUAACUCCGGGCGUGCAGGCGAUACGGGCAUAACUUGAGUACUGUAGGGGUAACUGGAAUUCCUGGUGUAGCGGUGAAAUGCGCAGAUAUCAGGAGGAACACCGAUGGCGAAGGCAGGUUACUGGGCAGUUACUGACGCUGAGGAGCGAAAGCAUGGGUAGCGAACAGG
RNAcentral lists this ribosomal RNA (411 nucleotides) under Actinomycetes bacterium. RNAcentral describes it as "Actinobacteria bacterium partial 16S ribosomal RNA". It matches the Rfam family "Bacterial small subunit ribosomal RNA", at positions 355 to 776 of the family's 1533-position model. The record is from RNAcentral. Lineage: Bacteria; Bacillati; Actinomycetota; Actinomycetes.